RNAcentral lists this long non-coding RNA (6970 nucleotides) under Sarcophilus harrisii (Tasmanian devil). RNAcentral describes it as "lncRNA (ENSSHAG00000022292.1)". The record is from RNAcentral. Lineage: Eukaryota; Metazoa; Chordata; Mammalia; Dasyuromorphia; Dasyuridae.
GUGGAUAAAUUUAUUGACAUCAGUAAACUACAAUGGAUGGUUAUAGUCACAAUUUUAUAUGACCUUUCUUAUCAGACAAGCUUCUUUUCAGAAUGUGCAGAUAUUCAUGAUACAGCAAAAUUAAAUGUUAAGUAAGUAGCCCCACAAGGUCACAGCUUAUUGAACCACUUCAAAAUCUGUUAACAUAAACAUUCAGAUUUUCUUCAUUUUAAUCAGUGGAAAAUUCAUUAUAUGUAAUUUCUCCCAUAAAAAUGUUCAAACAACAGAGGCAAUGUGGUAUAGUAGUGAGAGCUCUGAAUUUGGAAUCAGAGGGACGGGGUUCAAAUACAUCCUCUCCUUUGCUAUAUUUUGGGCAAAUGUAUUUAUCUUUCUGAGUCUAAAAUUUAAAACGAGGGAUUGAAAUAAACAUUCCUUUUAGCUCUGAAUUGCAUGAAACUAAACAAGUUUAAGUUUCUAAAAUAACCAGACUUUUGAAUCUAUUUCUCUUUCUCUUUGAUACUUCUGUAUGUGUAUGCAUGUAUGUAUAUGAGUGAAUUCAUGCACAGGAUGUUAUUUUAACUGUAAGUUUUCUUCCUUACUAUAUUAGGUCAGAGUCUACAGUGAAGGGACUGAAGAGAGAGGAAGUUUCUAGUAGAUUUUCUAUUUAAGGAGAACUAGACAGCUGUAAAAAGCAGACUCAUAAAAUCUUAGAAUUAAAAGACCUCAGAGAUCAUUUCAUCCACUUUUCACCCAAAAGCUUGAGUCCAGCUAACAAUCGCCUUCAAAUAUGAGUCUCCUUGACUUCUGAUCAUUCUAAUAAUACAAAUUUUCCUUUCUUAUGCCUAAUUUGGGGAAAUUUUGUGAUAAAUCAAAAAAAAAAAAACUAUUACUUUGUAAUGGCCACCCCUUGGUCCAAUUUCUGCCCUCUAAAGCCAGUAAGAUGUCACUGAGGUUGCUGAUGGUUUGAAAAAACAAACUUCAAUGCUUUGUUCAUUACAGAGUGGAACAGGCUUUACAUUUUUAAAGAUUCCAAAGAAUAAUAUAGAUUUUUAAAGUCAAAGCAUAAAGCUAUACUUCAUCAAGCAAUUUCGUAUGGUGUGAAAUAGAUUUAGUCAAAUAAUACUCCAUAUACAAUAGCAUGAAGAAUAAGCAUCAUCUCAUACAUUAUAAAAUUGUGCUAAUAAAAAUGUGUGCUUAUUUUCUAAAAGGAGAAAUUUAUAGUCAGUUUUCUGUGGUCACUAUUCUAUUCAGAUAUAAGUUCUUUAGAGAAAAAGGUCAUAUUUUAAUCACUUCACAUGCCAAUGGAAAAGUUAGCUGUUUUAGCCAUCAGAGAUAAAUAUACAUUUAAGAUGUUUUAUUUUAUGUUUCUAAAUGUAACAGAAGCCUCCCCUACUGUCACAGAUCACAGUGUGCUUCGUCUCUUCAAAGAAAUAAUGAAUUUCUAGAUGGGCUAUUAAAUAUGCCCCCUUUUUCACUUUUCAGCCCCUUUUUGUUAUCAGAGCUUUCAGAAGGACAUUUUCAUCUUUGGUUAUAGCAAUUCAGUUUUACAUUGAAUCUCUACGCUCAUCCCAGACUUAUUCCCUUGGAUUUUGGUUGUCAAAUUAGAAAAUAUAAAGCAAACUUGAUAGAUGCUAUCUGAUUCUGAUACUGAGUGACCCGAAUCUCACUCUAUGAGACCCCAGAUCUAGUGGACCUUUGGCUCUAAUUGGCCAUAUCUUCUUAACUUCCAAUUUGGGACACACACAUCUACCAAUGGCCAUUCAUUCUUUUAAUAGGCCAACAUGGACAAACAUAAGAUUUGAGGCUGCAGAGAACUUGGAGGGAGUUGGAUAUAAAUAAAAGCUGAGAUUAAUGAUGACAAGGAUAGAGUUUCAAGAGUGAAAUCAAUGUCUGGUGGAAGAAAGAUUAAAUCUAUUUUACUUGACUCCAAAGGGCAGAAGUGAGAAUAAUGAGUGGAAAGUAGAGAAGUGGAUUUUAAGUGAACAUAAAGAAACAUUUUCUAAUAAUUACAUAUGACUAAAAUUGAAUGAACUAUUUUAGAGUACUAAUUUCUCUGCCACUGAAGGCCUGCAAGCAGAGGUUGAAUGACCACUUGUCUGGAAUAUUAUUUUUCAAAUUAAAAUCCCUUUACUAUGCACUCUCCAUGCAACAUGCCAGGGUACAGAAAUGCUUAAUUAUUUUGUGGCAAUACUGAACUCCCUAUAGAGUUCCAGAUACCAAUGUACUUAUGUUUUAAACAUCAUAUACCCAAAGGAUAUACCUCUCAUCUAAGUGAACAAAAACAAUGAAGCACAGGCUAUACCAAAUGCAUCUCUGCCACAAAAAUACAUUAUUCAUUUUGACUUUGAUGAUGAGAAGAUUAAUAACAUAACAAAAGCUUUUCAAGCUUGUGAUUUACAAAGAAAGAUUGAAGAUUAAUCUGAAGGGUGUUGAAGUUCAUUUUAAUACCACAAAUUAGGAAACACUUUGGAUUUCAUGCAGGUGAAGGUAAGCAUUGCGAAUUCCUGGAAUGUUCACACUGAAUAACAUGUCAAAAACUAUCCUUAUUACAGAUAGAUCAAUGGGACCUUAAACUUCUUUCUUGGACCUGCUGAACUUCAAUGAAAUGUUUACCAAGCACAUCCUAUUUUGAUGCUUCCUCAUGGUGAGGUGAUUAUCCCAGGUGCUUAAAAACUCUUUCAGUAAAAAUCAAGUGCUGGCAUAUUUCUGCCAUCUGAGGACUGACCCAUCUAAGUUCACAGGAGUUCAUGAUCAGAAGGUUGUUCCUUAAGUUAACUUGAAAACAAUUAAGACUAGCUAUUACAUUAUGGAAGGGUUGCAAUCUGCAUCAGUGAAAGAAGUAUUCCUCCGAUAAAAGUCUUUUGAAGAUGAAAACAAAUAAUUAAAUGUUAUGGGUUCUAUGUAUGACUCAUAUGCUAGGAUUUGAAUCAUAUCUAUGGUGAAACCCACCUGAAGUAGAUUUCCAAGAUCAUCAAAUUCUCAUAAAAAUAGCCAUAGAGCAUUACUCCCAAAUGGAGAAGUUUGAAACAAAGUACAAAAAACAAUGUUACUCAAAUAUAUGCAUUUACAUGUGGCCCAGUUGCUUCUGAAAAAAAGUAUUUUAUGCAUGGGUAUAUGUGUAUAUAUGUGUAUACAUACACACACACUCAUAUAUAUGUACAUAUUUAUAUAGCACGUAUAUGUGUAUAUUUAAAUGUAGUCAUGCUAUUUGCCACCUGUGCUCCAUUUAGUCUACUGUGCUCCGUGUACUUCUCCAUCUCAUUCUCAGCACAUGGCAAUAGAAAUCCUAUAUAAAUAUCUAAAGGUAGUGUAGAAUCUCAAAGUCAUAGAAUCAUAGGGUUUUGCAGUUGAAAGGAACAUUGUGAAAUCCAAUCCUCAACAUGAUAUAAAAAUGCCCUUUACAACAUCUUCAGUGGCAUAUGUAGCCAUCUGAUUCAUAUUGGAAUAUCUCCAGUGUUAGGAAACUCAAAAUCAUAUAGGAUAUGAUCUUCCAUUUGACAGCUCUAAUCAUUAAAAUCUCCAAUGCUCUAGAGAUUUACAGUUAGUCAAAUUCUGUCUAGUAAGAUCAGGUAAAUCAAGUCAGACCUUUUUUGUUUGUUUAUUUUCCCAUGAUUAUUCUUCAUAAGCUCAAAUGUUUCUUAUUUAACAUGAUUUGGAGUAUCCUUAACCUGCCCUCAUCCCCUCACCUUUAAGGUUAAUAACCUUUAUUGUUAAUAUCCUUUAUUUUUUCAUCAUAACCAUUAUUUUCAUCCUUUUCCAUUUCAACAUUAUCCAUUUUGAGCUGGGAAGAACUUGGAGGAAUAUUUACUACAAUUCUCUCAGUAUACAAAUGAAUAAAUAGAGGUCCCAGGAAGUUGUGAGUUUUCUCAAGGUUCACCGGGUAUUCUUAAAUACGGUAACCAAAGCUGAACAGAAUACAUCAGAUUGAUCUAAAUGGACCAAAGUAGAAUGAUUUGGACACCAUCAUUGAUUGUUACCUAAAGUCACAUUAGAUUUUGUGGCUACUGGAUUAUAAAGUACUUAUGAUCCAUUAAUCCCUAAAAUUUAUGGAAGAAUAGCCAAGGGAGAUUUUUUGACUAAUGGAUUUUACUGAGAAGAAAUGAUCUGUGAAGAAUGGCUAAAAUACAAAGGGAAAUGAUUUUUAAAAGAAAAAAGCUUAAGAGAAAAAGAAUAUUAAGACAGCCAUCCCAUCUCUUUAUAUCUUUGGAUUUAUAAAGUUAUAAAGUUGGUGAAAACACCAAGUCCCCCCUAUUCAUUUUAUAGAUGAAGAAAUAGACAUAGAGAAGUUAAAUGAUGUGAAUAAAGUCUCUCACCCAAUAAAUGAUGGAGGCAGCAUUUGAAUCCAGGUCUUUCUGAUUCUACCUCUAGCCCUCUAGUUCUAACACUAAAUUGUCUCACAACCUAAUAUGAUGUUUUGUUCAUGUACGUUUUCCCUAAAUAUCUGCUAUGUGUCUUUUUUUACAAAUAAAAAAAGUUUAUCUACACUUUGGGGCUUCCUUCCAAUAUGCUUUCUUGCUUAUACCAUCUAUUAGAUGCAAAGAAGUGACAGCAAAUGUCCUUCACUGAAAAUUAGAAAAAUACUGCAUUAAGUAUAAUCUGGAGAGUUGCAGGCUGUUUAUGAAUGCAGAGUUGACUGUAUUGUAUAAUUUAUUAAUCCUGACUUUCCCCUUAAUCAAGAAUGACCAUGUCAGCAGUGUUAUGAGCAAUGGCAAAAAAUUUGAAAAAAGAACCACAUAAUGGAUUCUUUCCAGUCAGGGAAUAUAUUUAAAGGGGAGGCACUUGAAUUUAUGAAUGUAUUCCUUUUACAUCAUUUUAUUUCUCCAUUUUGAAAUUCAGAUUCUAAUGUUACAACUUCCUUUUCACCUGUCACUUCUAUCAAAAAUGUAUAAAUUUUUGCUCUCAAUUUGCCUUUCUCUCAAGGACUUCAGGGUCCUCAAUUCAGCUGUAACUAGAAUAAUCAGUGAUGAACAGAGUCAUGAAAAGUAUGUGCAUAUGUAUUCAUCACUGAGCUGCCCUUAUUAUUAUAUUUCAAACUAUUUUAGUUUCCUGAAUGGCUGAUUAUUAUUGAAACUUCAGCUUUAAAUUUUUUUUCCUUAUAAUUAAAGGUAUUUGCCCUCAUUAGAAUGCUAGUAAAUUGAAGGACCUGAGAAUAUAAAUAGGGGACAAAAGAAAUCUACAAACGAGAGAAAAAGAAGGAAAGGUGCUUUCAAGGAAAUAAUGAAAGGAAAAAGCUGCAGAGAUUGAGCAGAGAGGAAGAAUGUAGAAAUGGUGAAUCCUAGGAGAAUAAGGUAAAAAAUAAAGGAGCUUCCUUCCUUCCUGACCAUACUCACACUCUGCUCUGGUUUUUCAUCUUUGCUAUCUGUGUGACCUGGAGUGAGACAUUUAACUUCCCCAAACCUUAGUGUCCUCAUCAGUAAAAUAGUCCUUAUAUUUUCUGCUUUAUUGGUUUGUUAUAAGGAAAGUGCUUUGUAAGCCUUAAAGUGCUAAUGAAAAGUCAGUUAUUACCAACCUCCAGAAGACUGUUGUGAUAAUCAAAUUAAAGAAAGUAUAUGGAGGGGUUUUUUUUCAAUUAUAAAGGAUUGUUGAAUGUUAGUGAUAUCAUCAAGGAGAUAGCUAGAAAAUGAAAUGGGUCACUCACCAACUAAGAAUCAGAAUCUGUUUAAAUCAAGUCUUCUAACGGCACUCUCAAGAAAUAGAAUAAUUAAGAGAAGGCCUCCAAUACACUUGAUAGAUCUGUUAUGGAGAAUUUUCAUUAAAAGACAAUAAGAAUGAGCAACAACAAAAAGAGUCACAUAGGACCAGGGAAAAAAUGGAGGGCGUGUCCACAAUGAUGAAAUUACAGCUAGUUUAAUGUAGCAAGGUAGCCCCCUAAUCACUGAAAUGUCACAUUUAGGAAUAAUUAUGAUUUAUAUAAAACCUUAAGAUUUAUCAACAGAACUUUCUAUAUGUUAUGUCAUCUGAUUCCCAACAAGAAUACAGGAAGAAAGUUGAUCUUAUUCUGUCAGGCAGGGAAACUGAGGCUUAAAGAGAUGUAAGUGCUAGCAAGGGGCAUUAUGACACAAUGGAAAGUCGGGUUGUCAGUAAACUGGCAUUUAUGAAGUGCCUACUCUGUGCCAGGUGCUGUUGCUGGGUUUGGGGUUAUUGAUAGAUUCCAUCUCUAUUACUAACUUCUCAUUUGACCUUUGGAAAAUCCCUUAACACUUCUUUAUUGGUUUCCCUUUCAACGAUACCUCUUAGCUCUAAAUUUAUGAUUUUAUGAUCCUAAAUGUCACAAGCAGAAUGUGAUCCCAAGGUCUGACUGACUCUAACAUUAGAUUAACGUGUCUGACUACAAGUAUGUGCCUGGAUCAGAUGCACUCGGAACCCUGAUCCACUAACAGAUUUUGGAAAAAGCUUUGCCUAGAGUUUUAAUGCAGAAUUUUCAUUACAUGCCUAUUCAAUUUAAACUCCACCUGAUUUUUUAAUGGCUCCUUAGUUCAUUCCAGCCUAAUAGAAAUUAGUUCUUUGUAAUUAUUGCCUAUAUUUUCUUUGUGGUUCUUUCCCUCUUCUUUUCUAUCAUUUUCUCUCUUUAUAGCUUUUCUGCUUCUAGAGGAUGGCUAGAAAAGGAGCCUUUGAAGAUAUUCUUCCCCCUUGUUAAUGAAAGCUAGAGGGAAAAGAUUUGUUGCUACUUAAUUGGAAAAGCAAAAUGGAAAGCUCUCAUUUUAUGGAUGAAAAAAAAAAAAAAAAAAAAACCUAAUGGCCAAAGAAGUGAUGGCUCAAAAUCACAAAGCUAUUAAGUGGCAAAAUGGAACUAGAAGCUGUUUUAUGAUUCUUAGUCUGGGUGUUUUUUGCUAUUUUCAUGGAGGGGGUCGGGUAAUACAGUGCAAGAAAUGCACUUGGCCACUCACUGGGGGAGAACACAGGAUGAUAAAGACAAGCCAGUCAGAACUUUGGCGAGCCUUGUUAACUUUGAAAGCUGCUGAUGGCAACGUCCUCUCGACUAAUGGCAAAG